RNAcentral lists this ribosomal RNA (417 nucleotides) under uncultured bacterium. RNAcentral describes it as "partial 16S ribosomal RNA". It matches the Rfam family "Bacterial small subunit ribosomal RNA", at positions 360 to 774 of the family's 1533-position model. The record is from RNAcentral.
AAUAUUGUUCAAUGGACGCAAGUCUGAACCAGCCAUGCCGCGUGUAGGAAGACUGNCCNNCGGGUNGNAAACUGCUUUUGUUCNNNNNCAAACCCUUCACCGUGUAGGAGGCUGAGUGUACCGUAAGAAGAAGGAUCGGCCAACUCCGUGCCAACAGCCGCGGUAAUACGGAGGAUCCAAGCGUUAUCCGGAUUUAAUGGGUUUAAAGGGUGCGUAGGCGGCCCGUUAAGUCAGGGGUGAAAGACGGCAGCUCAACUGUCGCAGUGCCUUUGAUACUGACGGACUUGAAUGCGGAUAAGGUAGGCGGAAUGAGACAAGUAGCGGUGAAAUGCAUAGAUAUGUCUCAGAACUCCGAUUGCGAAGGCAGCUUACUAAGCCGUGAUUGACGCUGAUGCACGAAAGCGUGGGGAUCAAACA